This 2605-nucleotide long non-coding RNA is filed under the name Gallus gallus (chicken). RNAcentral describes it as "long non-coding RNA NONGGAT004037". Lineage: Eukaryota; Metazoa; Chordata; Aves; Galliformes; Phasianidae. The record is from RNAcentral.
ACGGAACGCAGAUAUUCUUCCCCUCUGUGGAAGCAGGAAUCAUGCCCCAGAAGGACUCUGCAAUGCAAAAUGGGUCACAGGCUAGCUCCUCUGUCAGUUCUGACAUGCCAGGAGGUCCAGGCCUAAUGAUGGAAGAAGGGCUGGACAUUUUCUGGGCCUGCCUGAGUCCUCUGCUGGCAGAGUUGAAUGACUAAAGUGGAUUGCCUAGGGGUGACUGCCAGCUUGGGAACCCCGUUUGUCUCUUUAUGAGCCAAAAGACUGCACUCUCUGGUUCUUCACAGGCAGGAGGGGUGAGAGGGAAAUAGUCUUCUGACAUCCCCUGCAAAACUUCUUCUGAUCCACCCUUUCUUCUCUUUCAGGCUGUGCACAUUCCUGGACUGGGGACUUUCAUGGUUGUCAGAGAGCGCGUAGUCAGCCAGAAGGGUCUGGUUACUGUUGAGAGACCCCUGUUUCACCUGGCAAAGGCUCUUGCGCAGGACCAUGACCUCCAGUAUGACUCCAUAGAUGUUGCAGGUAGGAGAGUGAAGUCUGACAGAGGUGCUUCCCUGGCACCAGAGUGGGGAAAGGGUGCCAGACUGCCAUUAUAGAUGGUAAUACAGUGUAACAGCACACUCUCUUUCACCUGCUUCAACAAUGGGUUUCAUUCCGGUCUCAUUGGCUCCGUGUCUCAGCGUCUCCUCAGAGACAUACCAAUGGUGCCACUUCAAAAUCUCAAGAGUAGCGUAUUGCCUGUGGGGCUGGAAGCUGCUGACUUUUGAUUGUAGCCCACUCAGUGGCUCUCCAAGUGCUCACGUUCUCUCCUCUUCUUUCGCCAGGACAUGACCAGUAUCAGCAACUUCCGUAUGCUCAGAUAGCCUCAGAAAAUGGCAUCUCUGCAGACGCGGCGCAGCUUUGCGUGGAAAGGACCGUGUGCCUUUUCAGCGCCUGCAUAGAGAAGAGGCGGAACGUUGCUUUCAUUUGGAGAGACGUUGGCAUGCUGCUGAUUGAAGGAAAACGGGUCCAAAUGAAAUUCUAUGAGGACUUCCUGGAGAAGCUCAACGGGACUGCUGACAUGUUGCAGGCUCUUCUUGGGGUAGGUUUUGCAUUUUCCCAGCACUACCUCUGAUUCUUCUGAAAUGCCUUCCGGGGACUAGGGGACUGCUUUCUCCUGGCCUGCCAUGCUUCUUCAGCCACCUGGGCUCCUGGUGGUCUGCAGGAAAGCAGGCUCUGUAGAGCUCUUCCCUUACACGAGGGGGCGCGGCUCUGUGCCAGGAUAUGCACCCUCAAAAGGCCUUGCUUGUUGUCAAGAGACCAGAGGAGCGGUGAGCGUCACUGCUCAGUCCCAACUCAGAGCAUGGAGCAGAGACACAGGCACAGCAAGGCUUGCUGAGGCCCGAACCCUCCCUUUGGCAGCUUGUGUUGUGUUGGGCUAAGACAGAUUGGAGCUGCCAGCCAUUCCCAUUGUCCCCAUCUCCCAUCGUCUGUCUCCGUUCUGAUUGCAGAUGCCAGAAAUGAGCAAAUCGGUCAUCUCACGCAAUGACUGCGUAGCUUCCCAAACAACUUCCGGACGUGUUACUGUCUUUCCAAUGUACGAGCACAAGUGCAUAAUUAAAAUGACUGAAACACCAAAGGUGGACCUGAAGUACCACGUGAAGACCAGACACGAGCAAGGCUGGGCAAGACCUGGUGACAGUGGCACGAAAGGUAAGGGCACCUGUGAGUUGCCAGCAGGGGCCUCUUUGUUUUCCUUCCUCCUCAUCUGGAGACGAUUAGAACUGACAUGACCACAGAGCGCCUGGAAGAGCAUGAGACACAUUGGGUGACUCUUUGUACCCACUGUGGGAAAGCCUGAGUGAUCCAUUGCGGAACAAGUUCUCAGGGCAGCCCUCCAUCACAAGUGGCCACUGGGAUCAUCUCAGCAGAGGACACUUUCCCCGCAGCCUCCGCUCGGCAGCCUGUCCUGCCAGCCCUGGAAAUCACUACCCUUGCUUCCCUUUGUCUUCUCAGAUGUCUCAAAAGCACUUCCUCUGCUGUCAGCACGCCCCAGUAGCAAAGCUGUGUGGGUGGGACAUGCAUCAAGAGAUGCAAGAGCCAGCUCCUCUGCUGCUAAACGAUUCUCCUCUCUGGAAUGGCUCUUUGAGACCAUCGGCAUCUGCCAGGGCAUCCCCCAUUUCAGCACACACAGGGGAUGAAGGCAUCAAUGUAGCAUUCCCCAGGGAACAACGCUGCCCCAUAGCCAUGAAGAAACGGGCCAAAACCUUGUCAGAAAUGCAACUUUUCUCAAGUUCUCUCCCUUCCUCUUUCUAGGGGACCUUUGUGAGACGCGCCUCCUUCAUCGAGCAGCGCUUCCUCCAAUAAGAUUACCGGCAUUGACUGUAAUGCCAGGGAGAGACCAGAAAGCCGAGGAGAAAGACCCUCGCACCAGGUGAGACUCCUGGCAAAAGAAACGCGGGUGAUGCCAUGCUCUUGCCUCUGUGGGAGUGAAGUUUAUCUGGAGGGUAUCCGGAGACUGUAUGAACUCAUCCUACCACAUUGCGAUUCCUUGCUCACGACAAAAGUCCCAUAGCAUUACUUCUUAGCUGGGUAACUAAUGGCAAAAGCUCCUUGCAAGAGCGCAGAGUCUUUC